Molecule: RNase P RNA, 354 nt
Filed under: pig gut metagenome
Description: Bacterial RNase P class A
Rfam family: Bacterial RNase P class A
About the family: Ribonuclease P (RNase P) is a ubiquitous endoribonuclease, found in archaea, bacteria and eukarya as well as chloroplasts and mitochondria. Its best characterised activity is the generation of mature 5'-ends of tRNAs by cleaving the 5'-leader elements of precursor-tRNAs.
Source: RNAcentral
CGGUCGCGGCCCGCAAGGGCUGAGGAAAGUCCGGACUCCACAGGGCGGAGGAUCCGCUUGUCAAGGGCGGAAGGUGUCGGGUAAUCCGACGCGAUGGAAAGUGCCACAGAGAAAGACAGCCUCGCAAGGGGUGAUGGUGAAAGGGUGAGGUAAGAGCUCACCGGCACGGCUGAAACGACGUGCGCAGGGUAAACCCUCCUCGGAGCAAGAUCAAAUAGGGGAUCGAACGGGCGGCUCGUCCGGCUGGCGCCGAUAAGGUGUCAUGAGAUUCCGGGUUGAUUGCUUAGAUGAAUGAUCGGAUUCGUCGGUGUCCGCAAGGAUGUCGGCGGAGAACAGAAUCUGGCUUAUUCGCCG